CCUACGGGCUGCACCAGUGGGGAAUAUUGCACAAUGGGCGCAAGCCUGAUGCAGCCAUGCCGCGUGUAUGAAGAAGGCCUUCGGGUUGUAAAGUACUUUCAGCGGGGAGGAAGGUGUUGAGGUUAAUAACCUCAGCAAUUGACGUUACCCGCAGAAGAAGCACCGGCUAACUCCGUGCCAGCAGCCGCGGUAAUACGGAGGGUGCAAGCGUUAAUCGGAAUUACUGGGCGUAAAGCGCACGCAGGCGGUCUGUCAAGUCGGAUGUGAAAUCCCCGGGCUCAACCUGGGAACUGCAUUCGAAACUGGCAGGCUAGAGUCUUGUAGAGGGGGGUGGAAUUCCAGGUGUAGCGGUGAAAUGCGUAGAGACCUGGAGGAAUACCGGUGGCGAGGGCGGCCCCCUGGACAAAGACUGACGCUCAGGUGCGAAAGCGUGGGGAGCAAACAGGAUUAGAUACCCCCGUAGUC
RNAcentral lists this ribosomal RNA (465 nucleotides) under uncultured bacterium. Its description in RNAcentral is "bacterial SSU rRNA". It matches the Rfam family "Bacterial small subunit ribosomal RNA", at positions 338 to 795 of the family's 1533-position model. The record is from RNAcentral.